This 485-nucleotide ribosomal RNA is filed under the name Salmonella enterica subsp. enterica serovar Senftenberg. RNAcentral's name for it is "bacterial SSU rRNA". It matches the Rfam family "Bacterial small subunit ribosomal RNA", at positions 828 to 1313 of the family's 1533-position model. The record is from RNAcentral. Lineage: Bacteria; Pseudomonadati; Pseudomonadota; Gammaproteobacteria; Enterobacterales; Enterobacteriaceae.
GCCCUUGAGGCGUGGCUUCCGGAGCUAACGCGUUAAGUAGACCGCCUGGGGAGUACGGCCGCAAGGUUAAAACUCAAAUGAAUUGACGGGGGCCCGCACAAGCGGUGGAGCAUGUGGUUUAAUUCGAUGCAACGCGAAGAACCUUACCUGGUCUUGACAUCCACGGAAGAAUCCAGAGAUGGAUUUGUGCCUUCGGGAACCGUGAGACAGGUGCUGCAUGGCUGUCGUCAGCUCGUGUUGUGAAAUGUUGGGUUAAGUCCCGCAACGAGCGCAACCCUUAUCCUUUGUUGCCAGCGGUCCGGCCGGGAACUCAAAGGAGACUGCCAGUGAUAAACUGGAGGAAGGUGGGGAUGACGUCAAGUCAUCAUGGCCCUUACGACCAGGGCUACACACGUGCUACAAUGGCGCAUACAAAGAGAAGCGACCUCGCGAGAGCAAGCGGACCUCAUAAAGUGCGUCGUAGUCCGGAUUGGAGUCUGCAACUC